This is a long non-coding RNA of Thalassophryne amazonica, 158 nucleotides long. RefSeq lists it as uncharacterized. The record is from RefSeq and is a predicted model, not a curated record. Lineage: Eukaryota; Metazoa; Chordata; Actinopteri; Batrachoidiformes; Batrachoididae. The transcript has 3 exons.
AUCUCCUGUAACAUCGACAAAUUCAGUGUUUUACUCUACAGACAGCCUGCAAGCAUACAGUAAAAAUCAGCUGCACUUUGCACAUCAAACCCUUUCAUUGCUAGAUGAUUUUCAGUGUAGCAUGCAAGUAAAAAUGUGCACAUAUUAAAAGUCUUGAG